This 301-nucleotide ribosomal RNA is filed under the name uncultured bacterium. RNAcentral's name for it is "partial 16S ribosomal RNA". It matches the Rfam family "Bacterial small subunit ribosomal RNA", at positions 509 to 807 of the family's 1533-position model. The record is from RNAcentral.
CAGCCGCCGCGGUAAUACGUAGGUGGCAAGCGUUGUCCGGAAUUAUUGGGCGUAAAGGGCUCGCAGGCGGUUUCUUAAGUCUGAUGUGAAAGCCCCCGGCUCAACCGGGGAGGGUCAUUGGAAACUGGGAAACUUGAGUGCAGAAGAGGAGAGUGGAAUUCCACGUGUAGCGGUGAAAUGCGUAGAGAUGUGGAGGAACACCAGUGGCGAAGGCGACUCUCUGAUCUGUAACUGACGCUGAGGAGCGAAAGCGUGGGGAGCGAACAGGAUUAGAUACCCCUGUAGUCCCUGUCUCUUAUAC